UGGUGGAGCGAUUUGUCUGGUUAAUUCCGAUAACGAACGAGACUCUGGCCUAUUAAAUAGUUCGCCGAUUCCGAUCUGUCGGCGUUAACUUCUUAGAGGGACAAGUGGCUUUUAGUCACGCGAGAUUGAGCAAUAACA
Molecule: ribosomal RNA, 138 nt
Filed under: uncultured eukaryote
Lineage: Eukaryota
Description: partial 18S ribosomal RNA
Rfam family: Eukaryotic small subunit ribosomal RNA
Source: RNAcentral